AUUGAACGCUGGCGGCAGGCCUAACACAUGCAAGUCGAACGGUAACAGGAAGAAGCUUGCUUCUUUGCUGACGAGUGGCGGACGGGUGAGUAAUGUCUGGGAAACUGCCUGAUGGAGGGGGAUAACUACUGGAAACGGUAGCUAAUACCGCAUAACGUCGCAAGACCAAAAAGGGGGACCUUCGGGCCUCUUGCCAUCGGAUGUGCCCAGAUGGGAUUAGCUAGUAGGUGGGGUAACGGCUCACCUAGGCGACGAUCCCUAGCUGGUCUGAGAGGAUGACCAGCCACACUAGAACUGAGACACGGUCCAGACUCCUACGGGAGGCAGCAGUGGGGAAUAUUGCACAAUGGGCGCAAGCCUGAUGCAGCCAUGCCGCGUGUAUGAAGAAGGCCUUCGGGUUGUAAAGUACUUUCAGCGGGGAGGAAGGGAGUAAAGUUAAUACCUUUGCUCAUUGACGUUACCCGCAGAAGAAGCACCGGCUAACUCCGUG
This 490-nucleotide ribosomal RNA is filed under the name uncultured bacterium. RNAcentral describes it as "partial 16S ribosomal RNA". It matches the Rfam family "Bacterial small subunit ribosomal RNA", at positions 30 to 507 of the family's 1533-position model. The record is from RNAcentral.